RNAcentral lists this ribosomal RNA (250 nucleotides) under uncultured bacterium. Its description in RNAcentral is "partial 16S ribosomal RNA". It matches the Rfam family "Bacterial small subunit ribosomal RNA", at positions 809 to 1058 of the family's 1533-position model. The record is from RNAcentral.
UUGGGCACUAGGUGUGGGGGACAUUCCACGUUCUCCGCGCCGUAGCUAACGCAUUAAGUGCCCCGCCUGGGGAGUACGGUCGCAAGGCUAAACUCAAAGGAAUUGACGGGGGCCCGCACAAGCGGCGGAGCAUGCGGAUUAAUUCGAUGCAACGCGAAGAACCUUACCAAGGCUUGACAUACACUGGACCGUUCUGGAAACAGUUCUUCUCUUUGGAGCUGGUGUACAGGUGGUGCAUGGCUGUCGUCAG